CUCCUCUUGAGGAUGGAUUUCAGCAGGAGUGGAAAGGACAGUGAGCUGCCCAUGACCUAGAAAUUCUGUCUGGCUUACUCACCAUCAUUUAGAGUGAAUUUGCUUAAUUUGCUACAGGAAAAUGAAGUUAUACAUGUGAAACAAACAGCCUUGAUUGGAAGGCCCUUAAACAGGUGCCUCUCCAGAGAGACAGGUAAGUCUCAACCAGUAAAGGCCCUGUGUGGAAAAGGGAAGACAUGGAUAUUUCGGAUUGUUUGGGAACUGACCUUCUUGAAGACUGUUGCAAGGAACGUAUUAGACAUCUUCCAGAGUGGAGUACCCAAUGGACCUUUUAGGUUGACAGCGGCUGUUGACGCACAGACUCACGCCCAAGGACAUUGUGGUCAUUCUGUAUAAUGGACACAGGAGAUGAGAUCUCCAAUCUCAUAACCAGAAGAGAGACCUGGAAUUUCCAUGGAGCUAGAGGACACUCAGAAUAAAGGUCACCAAUAUUCAGAUGGCCAGGAUUGCCUUGGUGCACUACGGGCCAGCAGAGGAGUUUCUUCAUGAACACGAGAAAUGUGUCUGUUCCCCGCAGAGGCACUUCCGGGGGCUGACCUGCCACCGGGGCUCAUCCGGGCCUUUGAAGCCCGCGGCCCUCGGGCCAUUACGUCUUGCCCAGCAGCCUGGGAAAUGCGUGUUGCUCCAAGGAUGACACGCUCCUGAGCGUGUCACAGAGGGCAGUGGACCCCCGAGGGACCAAGAGAAGCAUUCAGACCUCCCUGUGCCGUUUGGGAUCCCAAGGAGAACACAAGAGUUUCAAAUAGAAACAUCAAAUAAAAGGGACACGGCUUCGGUGUCAAGAAAUGAGGAUUGCGGCAGCUAAACGUUGCCAUCAGCACAUCUGCCUUCCAGGAGGUCCCCCGGGGGUUGCAGUGAUGACCCUGGGUCUCAGGGACUCUCAGUGUGCCUCUGUCAGAGGUGCAGAGGGCCCUUCUUUUUCCUUCUUCAGCAUCAUAGAUGCUGACUGAGGGCUUAAGCAUGCUAUUUGUGUGGGAAGCUCAAGUUUGGGAAUUUCUUCUUUAGAUUUACAUAAGCCCAAAUUUUAAUAGACAUCAGUUACUGGGAUCACGAGUUGGGCAAAAAGCUGAUGAAGUUUAGUAUCCAAAUAAAAGAAAUGUCCAUUUAAGCACAUUUUUGUAAUUCCCUAUGUAA
Mustela lutreola (European mink) is the source of this 1194-nucleotide long non-coding RNA. RefSeq lists it as uncharacterized. The transcript is spliced from 4 exons. Lineage: Eukaryota; Metazoa; Chordata; Mammalia; Carnivora; Mustelidae. The record is from RefSeq and is a predicted model, not a curated record.